CGGCGAGCGAAAGGGAGGAGCCCAGCGCCGAAUCCCCGACCUUCGGUCGUGGGAAAUGUGGCGUUUAGGAGUGAGCGUGCCGGGUUCGGAGCGGGCGGCAAGUCCCCCUGACCGGGGCCUGUCCAUAGCGGGUGCGAGGCCCAUAGCCGCCCGUCCCGUCUCGGAUGCGAUCUCCUUGGAGUCGGGUUGCUUGGGAGUGCAGCCCUAAUCGGGUGGUAAACUCCACCUAAGGCUAAAUACCGCCGUGAGACCGAUAGCAAACAAGUACCGUGAGGGAAAGUUGCAAAGAACUUUGAAGAGAGAGUUCAAGAGUACGUGAAACUGCUCAGAGGUAAACGGGUGGGCCCUCGAAAUCCUGUGGCGAGAGGAUUCAGUCUGGCGCCGGAGACUCGGAGUUCGGAAAGAUUGGUAGGGCUUCCCGAGACCGGGGCCGUCCGACACCGAGCCUUCUUCGGUUCCAGACGCAUUUGUCUCUCGUCCGAAGGACGCUGCAGCCGGUCGGGCAGUGCAAGCGUGUCGGCCUGAAGGAGGGGAACCGGUAGGUGGCCGGUGGCGCGCCUCGUGUGUGUCGCCGGUUGUUAACCAUCCCUUCGGUGGCUCGACGCCCGACCGUGGUGUCGCGAGGCCCUCAUGGGCCUCCACGUCUCCUCCCUGAGUCGCGGGACAGACGGUCGCAGGUGAACUCCGCUGUUCCGCCGCACUCCCUCGGAGUGGGCGGACAAACGGAGCGCUCCGUUGGCGGCCGCGGACCCGCGGGGGAUCGAAGGCUAGCAGCGAGUAGGUCGGUCACCC
This 792-nucleotide ribosomal RNA is filed under the name Amycoida sp. Ecuador MRB038. RNAcentral's name for it is "eukaryotic LSU rRNA". The stretch from base 1 to 662 matches the Rfam family "Eukaryotic large subunit ribosomal RNA", at positions 87 to 664 of the family's 3401-position model. The record is from RNAcentral. Lineage: Eukaryota; Metazoa; Arthropoda; Arachnida; Araneae; Salticidae.